GGGGGUGUAGCUCAGUGGUAGAGUACUUGCCUAGCAUGCAUGAACCCUGAGUUCAAUUCCUAGUAAAUUCU
RNAcentral lists this transfer RNA (71 nucleotides) under Heterocephalus glaber (naked mole-rat). It matches the Rfam family "tRNA". From Rfam's summary of the family: Transfer RNA (tRNA) molecules are approximately 80 nucleotides in length. Their secondary structure includes four short double-helical elements and three loops (D, anti-codon, and T loops). Further hydrogen bonds mediate the characteristic L-shaped molecular structure. tRNAs have two regions of fundamental functional importance: the anti-codon, which is responsible for specific mRNA codon recognition, and the 3' end, to which the tRNAs corresponding amino acid is attached (by aminoacyl-tRNA synthetases). tRNAs cope with the degeneracy of the genetic code in two manners: having more than one tRNA (with a specific anti-codon) for a particular amino acid; and 'wobble' base-pairing, i.e. permitting non-standard base-pairing at the 3rd anti-codon position. The record is from Rfam by way of RNAcentral. Lineage: Eukaryota; Metazoa; Chordata; Mammalia; Rodentia; Bathyergidae.